Microcebus murinus (gray mouse lemur) is the source of this 126-nucleotide unclassified non-coding RNA. The record is from Ensembl. NCBI's taxonomy places the organism in Eukaryota, Metazoa, Chordata, Mammalia, Primates, Cheirogaleidae.
GGCGGGACCGAGGGGCUGAGCCCACGGGGGAUGGGACGGCGUCUGUCACGUGACACGGAUUCACUGUUUACACGCGCAGCGGGCCGAGUGUUCGGCCUCUGUCAGGCGCUCGGCUCCGUUUCGGUU